GACGAACGCUGGCGGCGUGCCUAAUACAUGCAAGUAGAACGCACAGUUUAUACUGUAGCUUGCUACACCAUAGACUGUGAGUUGCGAACGGGUGAGUAACGCGUAGGUAACCUGCCUGGUAUCGGGGGAUAACUAUUGGAAACGUUACCUAUUACCUCUUAAUAUUCAUUAUUCCAUGAUAAUUAAUUGAAAGUUGCAAUUGCACCACUACCAGAUGGACCUGCGUUGUAUUAGCUAGUAGGUGAGGUAACGGCUCACCUAGGCGACGAUACAUAUCCGACCUGAGAGGGGGAUCGGCCAAACUGGGACUGGAGCAAGGCCCAGACUCCUACGGGAGGGAGCAGUAGGGAAUCUUCGGCAAUAGACGAAAGGCUGAACGAGCAACGCCGCGUGAGGGAAGAAGGUUUUCGGAUCGUAAAGCUCUGUUGUAAGAGAAGAACGGGAGGGAGAGUGAAAAGUGCACACUGUGACGGUAUCUUACCAGAAAGGGACGGCUAACUACGUG
Molecule: ribosomal RNA, 505 nt
Filed under: uncultured bacterium
Lineage: Bacteria
Description: partial 16S ribosomal RNA
Rfam family: Bacterial small subunit ribosomal RNA
Source: RNAcentral